Molecule: ribosomal RNA, 407 nt
Filed under: uncultured bacterium
Lineage: Bacteria
Description: partial 16S ribosomal RNA
Rfam family: Bacterial small subunit ribosomal RNA
Source: RNAcentral
AUUGAACGCUGGCGGCGUGCCUAAUACAUGCAAGUAGGACGCAGUUGCGAACGGGUGAGUAACGCGUCGGUAACUGCCUAUUAGAGGGGGAUAACUAUUGGAAACGAUAGCUAAUACCGCAUACUAGUAGAUGGACCUGCGUUGUAUUAGCUAGUAGGUAGGGUAAUGGCCUACCUAGGCGACGAUACAUAGCCGACGUGAGAGGGUGAUAGGCGACACUGGGACUGAGACACGGCCCAGAGGCCUACGGGAGGAAGCAGUGGGGAAUUUUCGGCAAUGGGGGGAACGCUGACCGAGCAACGCCGCGUGAGGGAAGAUGGUUUUCGGAUCGUAAAGGUCUGUUGUUAAGGAAGCGGUACUUAACCAGAAAGGGAAGGCUAACUACGCGCCAGCAGACGCGGUAAUUC